Long non-coding RNA from Leopardus geoffroyi (Geoffroy's cat), 3791 nucleotides. RefSeq lists it as uncharacterized. The transcript has 5 exons. NCBI's taxonomy places the organism in Eukaryota, Metazoa, Chordata, Mammalia, Carnivora, Felidae. The record is from RefSeq and is a predicted model, not a curated record.
AUUCCUUGCUAAGAAAAUCAGAAUGAACACUGCAGGCAAGGGCAGAAGAAUCCCACCAUCUUUUGUAUCUUAAAUAACGUUCAGCAUUGUCAAAGAUGGACUUGAAAAUCACAAUGGAGUUUCUUUCCUCUCCCCCACCCCAUAUUUGACCCUGUAGUCCGGUGAACGUGAGUGUUACUGGAGCAGCCCUAAAAGCAGGAGUUCAGGACUUUCUCCUCUGGUGACCACUUAAGGGCUACUUUAAUAGGUGGAAGAUAAAGGGUUAAACCAGGGACAUUUCAGUGGCAAAACAGAAGCAGGGACAGAUGGGAAGAUUUCAGGGAUAGCGUGGGAAAUGUUAUUCCGUGCCACUUGCGCUCUAUUAUGUCAUCUCAAAUAGUACUUGAUAGGUGAGGCUUUCUCUGACCCACCCUGGCAAAUGGUACAUGUGGGGGCUGCUUCCUAAGCUACGGAAAGCACAUGUUCGUGUGCCUGUUGGACUGCCAGCCUUGGUAUCUUCUCAUCUCUGUUCCGUUAGCCUUCCGAUGACCCACAGAAGGGUGUGCUGGAGGGUUACUGAAUCCACUCAUAGGUGACUGGAUUACAGGCCAUCUGGCAGUAAAAGCACUACCACCGAAAGCUCAAUGAUAGCAAGAUACUACACGGAUUACCAUUCGACCUAACCUUUCAUAGCACUUAAAAAUUUUUACUUUUUAAAUGAAGCCGGCAAGCUCUCCAUCCCACAAGUAUCCACGGAGGCUAUGUGCAAGGGAGUGUUCUAAGAAUUAGCCUGGGGUAUGUUAAGUAUCCUUUCCAGAUCAGUUUGAACGCGACAGCGAACCCAAUUCCGGUCUCUAAAUCCCAAUUGCGGGCCAAGGCGCCGGAACCAAAGCGUUGCCGCUUCAUUUCCGGGCGGAGGCGCCAGUUUGUGGCGAGGGAUCGAUUGCUUUUGCCUGGCGGGGGUCUGUCCGGAGAGGACGGCGAGCUCGGCGACCGCGGGCCAGCCUGGCGGUGUACGGCGUCGUCGUCGCGGGGGAGCCCGAGCUGCUGAGAUCCGGGAGGCGCGCUGGGCCCGCGUCGGACGGCUCGGUCGUGUUUGCACACGCGCUGGUGCGAGGCCCCUUGUUGGUGAUGGAGGUGGCGAGCAACAACAACAAAAAGGAGUUCUUUAUGGCGAAGUCAGAGCAUCCUAGGCCUCUUGAGAGUUACUCCUUCCUUUUUGGAAUGAAUGCCCUAUGGGCAGGAUGGCUGAAAACCAGAGGAUAGUCCCUGCAGAGUCCUGUGCUUCUGAAGAAACACUCUUAUUAUGAAAGUUGUAUCGAAGCAGGCUUUCAUUCAGUUUCCUGUGCAGCCUGUUCUCUGAUGAAUUCACCACAGAGCCAGUUCCACUAUCACUGGGUCCAUCAUAUUAAAACAGCACUUCAGAGCUGGGCGAGGCAAUGAAGAGAAAGAGGAGAGAGAAGAAUGAACAGAAAGGAGACAGGAAGGAAUGGAGGUAGAAACAACCCAUGACAACUUUGGAUUAAAGAUGAAGGCCAUACAAUAUGGAAGUAACCUGGGUCCCUGAAUCCCAUUUGGAAGAGAGCUGCUUGAACUGGAAGGUACUAUGCUGAGUGAACGUCACAGAGGAAGAUGCUAUUACAACAGCUGGUGCUGUUCGCCAUCUUCAGAAGGAGCAAACCUUCCAAGAGCUGUUUUUCUUUACAUCAAGAAGUGCAUUUCUCACUGGUGAGCGAAUAAUCAAUAGAUCAGGACCAGAAGUUUUGUGAUGAUUUCUCCGGGAAGAGACUGCCCAGGGUGCUUGCGGCCUGUUCUGCCUGUCUCCCUGCUGCUCCUGGCUCUCUGCAGAAUUUAGCAGAUUAAUCACCGUGCUCCAGCCCAGACUGUUAUUUUUAGCUCUGUUGACUUCUCAACUGUCUGCAAACAACCAUGCACUAGACAAAGUACCUUGCAGGUGGGCAAGAGAGCCCCGCGAAGGGAAACAGCCCUGCUUUGGGAAGAGGAGUACUCACCCCACCGUGAAGAAUGGCAGGGUAUCUCAGGUGGGAGGUCUUUGGAGAAGAUGAGACCAAGCUGAAGGCCCCAGGGACUCCGGGCUGCCUGGCUUCCCGCGCCACCUCGUGCCCCUUUCCCCCAUCACUGACUGGGCUCUGGCCUGGGUGGCCUCUCCUCAUUCCUCCAACCCACACCAGCCUCUCUGGGCCACUGAUUUGAAGUCGCUGCUCUUCCGAGAGCCCUGCCCUGAGGAGUCCAUCUAAAUUGCUGCGGGCACGGCCCCCCCACAGCCACUCUCCGGUCUUUCCCCGGCUUGAGUUGUCUUCAUACCGCCUGUCUUCCUCUGAAGUUUUAUAAAAACGCGCCCUAUUUCGCUUGUUGCUUAUCUCCUCCGCUCUGGCAGGAGGGAAGCUCCCGGAAAGAAGGAAACCCGUCCUGUUGACCGGUGGUUAGUCUUCACGUGGAUCACUGCCGGGUAUAGCUGGCUUGCGGUAAACAGUUGGGCCAUCAGUGAACGAACGGACAAGUCAUCGCCCUCCCCCGCGCCGUGAAGGUGAUUUUGUGGCAGCUGGACUGCGCCUCACUCAGGUGCCGUAACUCCCUUAUUUGAGUCCAGUGUCACUGCCUUUCCCUUUGGUCGCCCUCGCCCGCCUCCAUGAUCACUGCCCAGCAGCACUGCCUCCCGCUCGCGUCACUCGCUGUCACUUUGUCUAGGUCAUUUCCUUCAACCUUUCCUCUGGGGAGUGCCCUUAGAGCCUCAGCCUUUUUCUGGGCAUCUCCACUGUGCUGUUUUAAUUAAAAAAAAAAAAAAAAAUGUUUUUGGCCAGCUUUAUUGAGGUGGAAAUGGCAAACGGAAGUUGUAUAAGUUUAGGUUAUACAGUGUGAUUUUUUUGAAGGUGUACAAUGUGAUGACUUCAUAUAUGUAUACAUUUUUCAGUGCGAGAACACUUAAGAUCUACUCUCGGCAGAUUUCAAGCAUACACUAUAGUUUUAUUUACUGUAGUCACCCUGCUGUACCUUAGGUCCCCCCAAUUUAUUCUUCUUAUAACUGAAUUUGUUCCCUUUAACCAACAUUUCCCCGUAUCUCCCAAGCCCGCAGCUACCGCUGUUCUACUGCCUGGUCCUGUGAGUCCAACUCUUUCAGAUUCUACACGUAAGUGAGACCAUACAGUAUCUGCCUUUGUGUCUGGCUUAUUUCCACUUAGCAUAAUGCCCUCCAGGUUCCUCUAUGUUGUGGCAAAUGGCAGGAUUUCCUUCCCUUUCACUCUUUAUCAUAAUAGAAACACCUUCUUUCCCAUCUGGACCUAGCCUCUGAAUGUCAGAGACUGUAACUAGUGUCCAAGGGCAGUGACCCAGAAAAGCCCACAAUAGCAUCCUUGUUACUGCAGAAGCUCCCGUGAGGCCUAGUUCAUCCCUGACACUCAAUGUGACAACUUCCUCGCCUCUAACAAAAUGGAACAGGUAGUCCUGAAUUAAACCCUCUUACCAACUGUGGACGUUUGCUACCAUCUCAUGCUCCUGAAGUUACAGACAUGAUGAGGAAAGUCAAACGUGUCACGGACAGUUGGACAGAAGUGACAGAAAGGUCUUGCCUUCUUGAUGACCUUGCUGAGCUGCUAAAUUGCCCUGAGAUCACUUUCUUUUGGACUUCUUGUAGUUUAAACUGCUGUGGGGCGGGCACUCUGUUACUUACAGAGGAAGAAAUCCUAACAGGGUGUGGGAUUGAGCAAGAAUUUCUUUAAGGAUGGGAGAUAUUUGUACAUAUAAAGCCCUUUAUUUUUUUUUGUUCCAUAAUAAUAAUAAUGUUAUUACUAUUA